This 2445-nucleotide ribosomal RNA is filed under the name Escherichia coli. Its description in RNAcentral is "partial 23S ribosomal RNA". It matches the Rfam family "Bacterial large subunit ribosomal RNA", at positions 519 to 2925 of the family's 2925-position model. Lineage: Bacteria; Pseudomonadati; Pseudomonadota; Gammaproteobacteria; Enterobacterales; Enterobacteriaceae. The record is from RNAcentral.
AAGAACCCCGGCGAGGGGAGUGAAAAAGAACCUGAAACCGUGUACGUACAAGCAGUGGGAGCACAGAGCAAUCUGUGUGACUGCGUACCUUUUGUAUAAUGGGUCAGCGACUUAUAUUCUGUAGCAAGGUUAACCGAAUAGGGGAGCCGAAGGGAAACCGAGUCUUAACUGGGCGUUAAGUUGCAGGGUAUAGACCCGAAACCCGGUGAUCUAGCCAUGGGCAGGUUGAAGGUUGGGUAACACUAACUGGAGGACCGAACCGACUAAUGUUGAAAAAUUAGCGGAUGACUUGUGGCUGGGGGUGAAAGGCCAAUCAAACCGGGAGAUAGCUGGUUCUCCCCGAAAGCUAUUUAGGUAGCGCCUCGUGAAUUCAUCUCCGGGGGUAGAGCACUGUUUCGGCAAGGGGGUCAUCCCGACUUACCAACCCGAUGCAAACUGCGAAUACCGGAGAAUGUUAUCACGGGAGACACACGGCGGGUGCUAACGUCCGUCGUGAAGAGGGAAACAACCCAGACCGCCAGCUAAGGUCCCAAAGUCAUGGUUAAGUGGGAAACGAUGUGGGAAGGCCCAGACAGCCAGGAUGUUGGCUUAGAAGCAGCCAUCAUUUAAAGAAAGCGUAAUAGCUCACUGGUCGAGUCGGCCUGCGCGGAAGAUGUAACGGGGCUAAACCAUGCACCGAAGCUGCGGCAGCGACACUGUGUGUUGUUGGGUAGGGGAGCGUUCUGUAAGCCUGUGAAGGUGUGCUGUGAGGCAUGCUGGAGGUAUCAGAAGUGCGAAUGCUGACAUAAGUAACGAUAAAGCGGGUGAAAAGCCCGCUCGCCGGAAGACCAAGGGUUCCUGUCCAACGUUAAUCGGGGCAGGGUGAGUCGACCCCUAAGGCGAGGCCGAAAGGCGUAGUCGAUGGGAAACAGGUUAAUAUUCCUGUACUUGGUGUUACUGCGAAGGGGGGACGGAGAAGGCUAUGUUGGCCGGGCGACGGUUGUCCCGGUUUAAGCGUGUAGGCUGGUUUUCCAGGCAAAUCCGGAAAAUCAAGGCUGAGGCGUGAUGACGAGGCACUACGGUGCUGAAGCAACAAAUGCCCUGCUUCCAGGAAAAGCCUCUAAGCAUCAGGUAACAUCAAAUCGUACCCCAAACCGACACAGGUGGUCAGGUAGAGAAUACCAAGGCGCUUGAGAGAACUCGGGUGAAGGAACUAGGCAAAAUGGUGCCGUAACUUCGGGAGAAGGCACGCUGAUAUGUAGGUGAAGUCCCUCGCGGAUGGAGCUGAAAUCAGUCGAAGAUACCAGCUGGCUGCAACUGUUUAUUAAAAACACAGCACUGUGCAAACACGAAAGUGGACGUAUACGGUGUGACGCCUGCCCGGUGCCGGAAGGUUAAUUGAUGGGGUCAGCGCAAGCGAAGCUCUUGAUCGAAGCCCCGGUAAACGGCGGCCGUAACUAUAACGGUCCUAAGGUAGCGAAAUUCCUUGUCGGGUAAGUUCCGACCUGCACGAAUGGCGUAAUGAUGGCCAGGCUGUCUCCACCCGAGACUCAGUGAAAUUGAACUCGCUGUGAAGAUGCAGUGUACCCGCGGCAAGACGGAAAGACCCCGUGAACCUUUACUAUAGCUUGACACUGAACAUUGAGCCUUGAUGUGUAGGAUAGGUGGGAGGCUUUGAAGUGUGGACGCCAGUCUGCAUGGAGCCGACCUUGAAAUACCACCCUUUAAUGUUUGAUGUUCUAACGUGGACCCGUGAUCCGGGUUGCGGACAGUGUCUGGUGGGUAGUUUGACUGGGGCGGUCUCCUCCUAAAGAGUAACGGAGGAGCACGAAGGUUGGCUAAUCCUGGUCGGACAUCAGGAGGUUAGUGCAAUGGCAUAAGCCAGCUUGACUGCGAGCGUGACGGCGCGAGCAGGUGCGAAAGCAGGUCAUAGUGAUCCGGUGGUUCUGAAUGGAAGGGCCAUCGCUCAACGGAUAAAAGGUACUCCGGGGAUAACAGGCUGAUACCGCCCAAGAGUUCAUAUCGACGGCGGUGUUUGGCACCUCGAUGUCGGCUCAUCACAUCCUGGGGCUGAAGUAGGUCCCAAGGGUAUGGCUGUUCGCCAUUUAAAGUGGUACGCGAGCUGGGUUUAGAACGUCGUGAGACAGUUCGGUCCCUAUCUGCCGUGGGCGCUGGAGAACUGAGGGGGGCUGCUCCUAGUACGAGAGGACCGGAGUGGACGCAUCACUGGUGUUCGGGUUGUCAUGCCAAUGGCACUGCCCGGUAGCUAAAUGCGGAAGAGAUAAGUGCUGAAAGCAUCUAAGCACGAAACUUGCCCCGAGAUGAGUUCUCCCUGACCCUUUAAGGGUCCUGAAGGAACGUUGAAGACGACGACGUUGAUAGGCCGGGUGUGUAAGCGCAGCGAUGCGUUGAGCUAACCGGUACUAAUGAACCGUGAGGCUUAACCUUACAACGCCGAAGGUGUUU